Molecule: long non-coding RNA, 7909 nt
Organism: Ctenopharyngodon idella (grass carp)
Lineage: Eukaryota; Metazoa; Chordata; Actinopteri; Cypriniformes; Xenocyprididae
Exons: 2
Source: RefSeq, a predicted model, not a curated record
CCCAGUUGGUAAGAAGGCAUGGCUGCGGUUGAUGGAUUAAGUUUAAGGCCUGUUUAUGGCCAUAUCCUUUUUUUUAUUAUUUUGGUAUUCAUGAUCUCAUGACAGUCCCUACACCUGUGUCCGAUCACAGGGUCUGAUAUCUGGCCACAUGGAAAGCACCUCCAUAGUUUUAGUAAUUGCAUCACCUCUGAGAUAUGUGGAUACAAAUUUAGAUUCCUGACUGCCAGGCAGAGAGGGGCUCGCAUCAGGCUAGAAGGCCUUGUAUAUCACUCCAUGAUGGAUGAGCCAGUGUAGAGGAAUUCUCUGUGGUUCAUACUAAAACAAUACUUUGCAUUGAGUCACUGCCCCAACUUGAACCUUGAAGUCAUUCAUGCUGCUCACAAUGACAACCAUUAGUGUUUAACUCAAAAUGGGGGUUGUUUGGUGUAAAGGUACACUAAAUAAUUACUCUUUUAGUCUUGCAACUGAUGCAACUGAUACCUGUUUGCAUGGAUGCAGCAAACAUUUUAAUUUUUUAUGCCAUUGUAAGGGUUCCUGCAAUUUUUGACCAGUGAAGUACAGCCUAAGUAUUUGUAAAACCGUUUUGGGUAGGAUUUCCAUUUUUAUGUUAGGUACUCAUUGGUAUUAAUAUAAAUUUGAUUAACGCGUGUGCUAUGUUGAAAAUCCUUUACCUAAUUUGGUGUUUUUGGCUUUUUUAAGUUCCUUUUAAAUAUCUCAUUAUGCUAUAUCACCAAAUAUUGGAUUCAAUCUGUUUGUCAACUUUUCUCUUCCAAUUAGCACAGGUUUUGUAUUUCUUUCUGGAACUGAUUGAUUAUAGGCCUCAUUGAUCUGAGCUUAUGCACCUCAGUAUUUUUAUUUUAUUUAUUUAUUUUUUAGGUAAAUAAGCAUGAGUGUACUUUUUUCACUUGUGACCUGUAAUAAUUGAAAGAAAACAAGUUGGUCCAAUAUUUAGUGAUAAUAUAGCAUAACGAGAUUUAUAAGCAAUUUUUGUGGUGUUCCCAGUCAAUUUACAAGUGUAACAAGAUAAAAAACAAAACUCAAAACAAAACAAAAAAAACCAAAAGCACAAAAAUUAUCAACUUUUGGGAAGUUGUUAUAGCCUGUUUGUGCAAAGUCAGUAAGUUUUAGGGUACGUUUGCACAACAACAACGUAUUAAAAACGCAAUCAUUAUUCCUUUGUGCUUUUUGCAUACAGACAACAACAUUGUCAAAAUGAUCCCCGUUCACACGGAUUCACGAAAACAACUAAAAUCGCUGUAUUCUGCUGCCAGGCCAGUAGUUGGCGAUGUCAAUUUGUAAAGAAAUGCUAUGCACCUAUAUACUGAAGAUGUAAUUCACAAAUUUGUGUUUUUGUAGUUUACAGGGAGACAAUAACGGUAUUGUUUUCAAAAGCUUGCACUUUGAAAUCCGUUUUCAAAAGUUUGCAUUUUCAGGCCCCCAAAACGCCGUAAAUGAAUGGCCAAAACGCAAAAAAAAGUUUUCCAUUUUUAGUUGAAAACUGUGUUGUGUAAAUGUCCCCUUUGUCCAAUGCGAUAAAAUUAACUAGAAUUUUUGAGGAAAAGAACAUUCUCUUAAUGUAAGGGAUAAUUAAUAUAAUAUAUAUUUAAUGUAAUUUGCUUUAAUAUACUGCAAUUAAUAUUUUAAAUAAUUAUUCUUACAACUGCACAAAUGUGAAAAAAAAAAAAAAAAAAAAUCAUGAGAUUUGAUUACAGUUUGGUGGAGGACUUUUUUUGAGCCAUAGCUGAAACAAUCAUUUUCUGACUCUUAAUUUGUAUUUCUUGUUUUGUUCCUGCUUCCUUUGUUCCCCGUUUUCCGCUUCUGCCCUCAGUUUAGCUCUCCUUUCUGUACCGUAUUGUCUUUAGUUAAGUGAAGCUGUUAUGUUGAUUCUCGCCUGCUGAAUAACCUUCUUUGUUUUUGUUUUAUAAAUAAAAGUAAAUCUGUUGCAUUUUCUUUAAUUGUGAAACUUUUUUUUUUGUUUUUUUUUAAUCUUAUAUCAUGUUGUUUAAGGGUUAAUGCACAAAAAAGUGAAACUAUAAUGAAUGAAUAUAGUGCAGAUGCUCCAUGUUACUGCUUUUCCCCCCUUUUUUUUUUUUUUCUAUUUUAUAGCUUGACUGGCCAACAUUCUUCAAAACAUUUUUUUAUUACUAUUAUUCCAUAGAAGAAAGUAAAUCAUAUGAGUUUCAAGCAACAUGAGGGUGAAUAAAUGACAAUGUUUUCAUUUUUGUAUGAACUAUUACUUUACAUCCUCUGUAAACUACUUAGUUCUCGGGAUCAUCUCUUUUACGUUAAGGGCAACUGAUAUUGUACGUGUUACUUGGCAGUAAUGGGUGAAUUUACAGCAGAACAGUGAUGGAGAAAAAACACAAUGCCAAAUUAGAUGUAAGAAAGAUACAUGUAUCAAAAGAAAAAUAAACUUUAGUAUGUAAUUACUUAUGCCAGUUUGUGCUGCUAGGGUGAUCUGAGAUGAACUGAGAUAAGUAGCAAAGAUUAUUCCUGCUAAAAUGUGAAAAUGCACAAGGAAUACUUAUUGAUUCUGCACCAGAACUUGGUAUCUAAUGUCUUUGAGGGCUCAGGGUCAUUGCACAACCUGAUGCUUUAGAAAAAAAAGUAAGGGAAGAGGGGGGAGGAGUAUGGCAACUGUCAUCACAAACAAGAAACAUCUGUCUCAUUUGUGUAACUUGUUUUCUUUUAAUAUGAGAAGUAUGUUGGUAGAGAUCUGUGAGUUUUGAGGAAGGCCUGGGAGGAGAGAGGAACGCGUGUUUCACUCCUGGAAUCAUUCUUCUCUGCAGACUCAUCUCCUCCGACGUGAAGUCUAUUAUUUCUGCAAUCUGUUUGAGCAGCCUGACUGGGAUGGACACAACAACAUUAGUUCAGCCAAUAGCGUGAGUUUGAGGUGGGAAUAUCUAUUUGUUUUAAAGGGGGGGUGGUUGAUUAAGAUUUCACUUUUUUAACUUUAGUUAGUGUGUAAUGUUGCUGUUAGAGCAUAAACAACAUCUGCAAAGUUACGACGCUCAAAGUUCAAUGCGAAGAGAGAUAUUUUCUUUUACAGAAAUCACUUUUUAAGGACUACAACAAACGGCUGGUAGGGACUACAGCAAGCUUCUUCCCAGGUUAGUGACAUCACUAACCCUAAAAUUUACAUAAACCCUGCCCUCAGGAACACGCAACAAAGGGGGUGAGGCCAUGUUGGGCUGCUUUAGAGAAGAGGAAGAGUUGUUGUAGUAGAGUGUUGUUACCAUGCCAUCAUUUUACGCCGGACUGCUUCACAAACAAGGGUCAAUUCAAUGCUGGAUUUGCACAAAAGAUUAACAAGGCGGCACAUGCUAAUGGAUGAGUUGAAUCAACUCCACAGCAACUACAUAAAUUUAUCCACUAACCAUUUAGAAACGUCCAGUUUCAUUCUAAAAGUUGUAACUUCUUCCUGAGUCUCUCCAUCAGUGUCCGACUCCGGUUUGAACAAUGUAAGGCUGAACACCGUUACUGACAAUCCUCAUUUUGGCUGCGUGAGAUUCUCCAGCUUUGUUUUUGUUGAGCAACCGAAGUGCGAGCUGUUAAAGCUCUGCCCUCUUUUGGAAAGCAGGCCAGGAGCAGCAGCUCAUUUGCAUUUAAAGGGACACACACAAAAACGGAGUGUUUUUGCUCACACCCAAAUAGGGGCAAAUUUGACAAACUAUAAUAAAUGAUCUGUGGGGUAUUUUGAGCUGAAGCUUCACAGACACAUUCUGGGGACACCAGAGACGUAUAUUACAUCUUUCUACAAAAUAUUAAGCAGCACUACUGUUUUCAACAUUGCAAAAUAAUAAUAAUAAAUGUUUCUUGAGCAGGAAAUCAGCACAUUAGAAUGAUUUCUGAAGGAUCAUGUGACACUGAAGACUGGAGAAAUGAUGCUGAAAAACUGAGCUUUGAUCACAGGAAUAAAUUACAUUUUAAAAUAUAUUACCAUAGAAAACAGUUACUUAAAAUUGUAAUUAUAUUUCACAAUAUUACUGUUUUUAUUUUUGAUCAAAUAAAUGCAGCCUUGUUUCAAAAAAGGUAGUGUGUAUUUCAUGAUACAGGUAUUUUUUUUUUUUUUUUUGGUACUUAAUACAAGCUGUUGGGCAACAGCUCAGCAAAGAGGUGCUUACGAAAGUCAUCUCUGGGGCCGCUUUGUUGCAGCACCAAACCACAUUUAUGCAUGUCCGACAACCUUCAUUCCUGUCAUUAUUCCAUGAAUAGUUUCUAUAAAUAUUUAUUGUUCUUGGCGUGAUGGCAUGACUCUCUGAGUUCAGCCUAGACCGUGUCACUAGGCAGCUGCCGGACUGGAACUGUCCUGAUCCCUAAACCAUUACAUGGGUCUGUUAAACAGAAUAGAGAAGAAAGAUGCCGUUGGUAAUCUUGCUGAAUUUUUCUGAGAAUUUCUGUCGUAGUAGGUGUGGUUAACCUGAUGAUUUCAUAUUGACCUUGUACAUUACCGUUCAAAAGUUUGGGGUCAGUAAGAUUUUUUUUCUUUUAAAGAAUUCUCUUCUGCUCACCAAGAUUGCAUUUAUUUUAUUAGAAAUACAAUAAAACCAGUAAUAUUGUAAAAUAUUAUUUCAAUUUAAAAAUAAAAUUUUAAUGAAAUAAAAAAAAAUGUUUAAGAUGUUUAUAUAUAUAUAUAUAUAGUAUAAAAUGUAAAUGUGAUAGAAAAGUUUUAGCAUCAUUACUCCAGUCUUCAAUGUCACAUGAUCUUUCAGAAAUCAUUCUAUUUGCUGCUCAAGAAACAAUUCUUAUUAUUAUUAAUAUCAGUAUUAAUUAAUAAUGUGUCCUUGAUGAAUAAAAUAUUAAUUUCUUCUUCGAAAAUUUAAAAAAUAAAUAAAUAAAAAAUUCUUUCUGACUCCAAACUUUUGAAUGGAAGUGUAACUUAAAUCAAUGUUUCAGGUUUAGUACAAGGCAUAACAUAUUGUUGAUGACCACAAAAAAUAAUUUAAACUCAUCUUGUUUUCAGUAAAAAUAGCAAAAAAUGGAGGUUAUGGUGAGGCACUUACAGUUGAAGAUAAUGGGGCAAAUGAUUUAAAAGUAGAAAUUAAGUUUAUCAUUGUAUAAAAGCGCUUGCAUUGGUUCCUGAUUAACUUAUAAAAGUAUUAUUUAAGCUGUAUAGCGGUUGAAAUCAUAAUUUAUACAGUUGUUUUAUGGUUUAUAUUACCUUGUCAUGGCAACAAAGUUAAAUGCAGAAAAGGUUAGUAAACUGAGCUUAACUUGUAUUGAGCCCGUGAUAUUUCUUUAAUAUCAACAGUGGCAAGACUGCAAAACCAAACUUUACAAAAUGUAGAGUUUUAUCCUAAAGUGUGAAACCCAUCAAACAAGACUAUUAAACUAUAGUAAAGACCAUUAAACUAUAGUACCCUGCUAAAAAGACCAGAUUGGUCAGCAUGGUCUUUUUGGUGAAGCUAGUUAACUAACGAUGUUUGUUCCAUUGCAAAGAGCAAUAAGCACAAGCACGAAGAUUUCAGUUUUUGACACAGCAUAUAUUUCAAUUUAACAUACAUUCAUAUGAAAUAUAGUCCUCUUCAGUGUAUAAGUCUUUACAAACCUAUGUUUCUUUUAAAAGCAUACUGGAUAGCAAGUUGUACUAUAGAAAAGCUUGGAGUUAUGGUAUCGUACAUAGUCGCCAUAAAUAAUUCAGUCACUCAGUCUGACUAAUGGAGCAGGGAAUGCUGGGGGAUUUGUUUAUUUGUGAUAUGUGCGUCUGGAGAGGAAAAGUGCUAGAGUCAUCGUGCACAGAAUCCAUGGUCCAAGCAUCCCAAGCGGGUAAACAAUUUAUGUUUGUCAGUUUUGUGCCAGAUGCAUGGUUACAGCUCAGCACCAAUGAUCUGUCUGCGUCACUAGCUACAACUUUCAAAGCGCUCCUUUUGAACAGCUUGUUAACACUUGUAAUAAUUCCAAUCCGUCUUGUUCGGAGUUGGUUUGCAUCCCUUCUAAAGCAGAACUCACUUGAAGGGUAGGGACACACCAAACCGAUGCCAAAGAACUAGCACUGAUAAAAGCCGACUGUGUUGUCGCCUCACGUCGGGGGAAAAACCUGCACAUGAGAGAGAACUAGAGCCGACUGUCAGCCAGCACGCGUGUUCUGCGCCUGCGUGUAAGGAGACCACUGUCUAAACAAAGCAGCGCAUGCUUACCAUUUUGAAUAUCAUUCAUGCUGAUCACUUUCUAUAUUCCACUCGGCUCACGUUAAUAUUAAAUAUUCGCCCAGGACGCUCGUAACACUCGGUACAUGACGUAAAAUUAGAACAACCUUCUGUCUGUACCGCCUUGACUUGUUUGUUCACUGUUUUGCUAUUAUUCUCGUGCUUUGACUUGUUCAUUGCCAAUCAGAGUUCUCUCUCUCACACGACGGCCCAACACCGAUUCUACAUGAUGAAUCGGCCCAAAAAAACCCAGACGGCCAGUGUUGGGAAGUCAGCAGUUUUCCCGCAACACUGUUGCCGCGGGUUGUUUUUCAUGUCCGCGGGUUGAAACGCCCCCAAAUAAUAUGAUAUUUAGCCCCUGGAAUGCGAAUUUUACCAGGGGAACUCUGCCAAGAACACAGAUUUUACCCCCUUGAACGCGAUUGGGCUAGUUUUGGGCUAGUUUUGAGUAGCAAUUGGGUGGGUUUUGUUGUGAAAACCUGGCAACCCUGCCGAUGGUGUCUGACCAGAGCCAACGGUUCAGAACACACCGGGAAAACAAUCGGCCGACACUUAAAAACGGUCUGGCCAGUGUUGCCAAGUCCGCAGUUUUCCCGCAACACUGUUGCCGUGGGUUGUUUUUCAUGUCCACGGGUUGAAGCGACCCCAAAUAACAUGAUAUUUAGCCCCUAAAAUGUGAAUUUUACCAGGGGAAACCCACCAAAAAUGCAGAAUUUUACCCCCCUGAAACGCCACUGGGCUAGUUUUGGGCUAGUUUUGAGUAGCAAUUGGGUGGAUUUUGUUGUGAAAACCUGGCAACCCUGCCAACGGCGUCCGAAUAGAGCCAACGGUUCAGAACACACUAGGAAAACUUAGUCGGCCGAUGCUUAAAAACGGUCCAGCCAGUGUUGCCAAGUCCGCAGUUUUCCCACAACACUGUUGCCGCGGGUUGUUUUUCAUGUCCACGGGUUGAAGCGACCCCAAAUAACAUGAUAUUUAGCCCCUGGAAUGCGAAUUUUACUAGGGGAAGCCCACCAAAAACACGGAUUUUACCCCCCUGAAAUGCUUUUGGGCUAGUUUUGAGUAGCAAUUGGGCGGGUUUUGUUGUGAAAACCUGGCAAACCUGCUGAUGGCGCCCGGCUAGAGCCAACGGUUCAUAACACACCUAGAAAACUUAGUCAGUCGACGCUUAAAAAAGCUCCGACGUUGCCUGAUUGCCGAUCGUCUGCUUGGUGUGUCCCGGGCUUAACAGUAUCGGUGAGUGAUUCUUGAAUUCAAGCAGCAUCAUAGGAACAAAUGGCCACGGGUAUGGAAAGUACAUGUACGCCUGGACUGCAUCUCAGCACGUAGUGUUUGAUAGUUCGGUUAAUCCAUCUUUCAAGAUGAAACCCUAAAGCAGCAUUAACGAUGAAAAGGCUUUUAAACGUUGACCUCUCUCCAUAUUCAUGUGCCCCUGAUCCCGCCGGGUCAAUGUCUGUCAGUAACCCCACUCCCAAUGGCACUCCUCUGGUGCGCGUCACAUUAAAAAUUCACUCUCUAUUCGAUUGCAAUAAGUUAAAAAAUAUACAUAUAUAUAAAAAUAAGAGAGCAACUGCAAUUAAAAACAGAAUGAGGAGAGAGAAAAAUACUCUCAAUUGGGACGUCAGAUAUAUUUGCCCCUAUAUUUUAAAGUCUCAUGUAUGACAUGUUCCUCUAUUGGUGCAUGAAAUGCCUGGGAAUGUCUCUGUCUUCCCUUUUGUGUAUUUGCCUAGUUUCCCUGUGCAUGUAGGGAAGUGUUGAGGGGA